RNAcentral lists this ribosomal RNA (460 nucleotides) under uncultured bacterium. RNAcentral describes it as "partial 16S ribosomal RNA". It matches the Rfam family "Bacterial small subunit ribosomal RNA", at positions 338 to 795 of the family's 1533-position model. The record is from RNAcentral.
CCUACGGGAGGCAGCAGUGAGGAAUAUUGGUCAAUGGACGAGAGUCUGAACCAGCCAAGUAGCGUGAAGGAUGACUGCCCUAUGGGUUGUAAACUUCUUUUAUAAAGGAAUAAAACGAGGCACGUGUGCCUCUUUGCAUGUACUUUAUGAAUAAGGAUCGGCUAACUCCGUGCCAGCAGCCGCGGUAAUACGGAGGAUCCGAGCGUUAUCCGGAUUUAUUGGGUUUAAAGGGAGCGUAGAUGGGUUGUUAAGUCAGUUGUGAAAGUUUGCGGCUCAACCGUAAAAUUGCAAUUGAUACUGGCAGUCUUGAGUACAGUUGAGGUAGGCGGAAUUCGUGGUGUAGCGGUGAAAUGCUUAGAUAUCACGAAGAACCCCGAUUGCGAAGGCAGCUUACUAAACUGUGACUGACAUUGAUGCGCGAAAGUGUGGGUAUCAAACAGGAUUAGAUACCCUUGUAGUC